CCGGGGAGUUUUAACCCUUUGUUGUCCGACUCUGUUGCCUCCGGGGCGACCCUGCCUUCGGGCGGGGGCUCCGGGUGGACACUUCAAACUCUUGCGUAACUUUGCAGUCUGAGUAAACUUAAUUAAUAAAUUAAAACUUUUAACAACGGAUCUCUUGGUUCUGGCAUCGAUGAAGAACGCAGCGAAAUGCGAUAAGUAAUGUGAAUUGCAGAAUUCAGUGAAUCAUCGAAUCUUUGAACGCACAUUGCGCCCCCUGGUAUUCCGGGGGGCAUGCCUGUUCGAGCGUCAUUUCACCACUCAAGCCUCGCUUGGUAUUGGGCAACGCGGUCCGCCGCGUGCCUCAAAUCGACCGGCUGGGUCUUCUGUCCCCUAAGCGUUGUGGAAACUAUUCGCUAAAGGGUGUUCGGGAGGCUACGCCGUAAAACAACCCCAUUUCUAAGGUUGACCUCGGAUCAGGUAGGGAUACCCGCUGAACUUAAGCAUAUCAAUAAGCGGGAGGAA
Molecule: ribosomal RNA, 501 nt
Filed under: Cladosporium sp.
Lineage: Eukaryota; Fungi; Ascomycota; Dothideomycetes; Cladosporiales; Cladosporiaceae
Description: eukaryotic LSU rRNA
Rfam family: 5.8S ribosomal RNA (bases 135-288)
Source: RNAcentral